UCUAUCGCGAGGUGGAAUCUGAAGGAAGCCGAAGGCAAAACGCUGGCCUGACGAACAGGAAUCGCAUAAUAGGCUUAUAUGCCGGGUAAGGAGGCCAUCAUCUCUAAAGCCCGAUACUUAACCGGAAGGCAUAUAGGUAUAUGCGGCAGGUAUAAGCGUGAAGGUAAAUGCG
Mucilaginibacter paludis DSM 18603 is the source of this 172-nucleotide non-coding RNA. The record is from Rfam. NCBI's taxonomy places the organism in Bacteria, Pseudomonadati, Bacteroidota, Sphingobacteriia, Sphingobacteriales, Sphingobacteriaceae.